RNAcentral lists this transfer RNA (71 nucleotides) under Loxodonta africana (African savanna elephant). It matches the Rfam family "tRNA". From Rfam's summary of the family: Transfer RNA (tRNA) molecules are approximately 80 nucleotides in length. Lineage: Eukaryota; Metazoa; Chordata; Mammalia; Proboscidea; Elephantidae. The record is from Rfam by way of RNAcentral.
GCAGUGGUGGUUCAGUGGAAGAAUGUUCAUCUUCUGUGCAGGAGACCCAGGAUCGAUUUCUGGCCAAUGCU